UACUGGGCGUAAGCGUGCGUAGGCGGUUAUUUAAGUCAGAUGUGAAAGCCCCGGGCUUAACCUGGGAACUGCAUUUGAUACUGGGUAACUAGAGUUUAAUAGAGAAGAGUGGAAUUUCAGGUGUAGCGGUGAAAUGCGUAGAGAUCUGAAGGAACACCAGUGGCGAAGGCGACUCUCUGGAUUAAAACUGACGCUGAGGUACGAAAGCGUGGGUAGCAAACAGGAUUAGAUACCCUGGUAGUCCACGCCGUAAACGAUGUCAACUAGCCGUUGGGCCUUUUAACAGGCUUAGUGGCGCAGCUAACGCAUUAAGUUGACCGCCUGGGGAGUACGGCCGCAAGGUUAAAACUCAAAUGAAUUGACGGGGGCCCGCACAAGCGGUGGAGCAUGUGGUUUAAUUCGAUGCAACGCGAAGAACCUUACCUACCCUUGACAUGCAGUAGAAUC
RNAcentral lists this ribosomal RNA (447 nucleotides) under uncultured Methylosarcina sp. Its description in RNAcentral is "bacterial SSU rRNA". It matches the Rfam family "Bacterial small subunit ribosomal RNA", at positions 552 to 998 of the family's 1533-position model. Lineage: Bacteria; Pseudomonadati; Pseudomonadota; Gammaproteobacteria; Methylococcales; Methylococcaceae. The record is from RNAcentral.